UACGAAGGGGGCUAGCGUUAUCCGGAUUCACUGGGUUUAAAGGGUGCGUAGGCGGAUUUGUAAGUCCGUGGUGAAAUCUCCGAGCUUAACUCGGAAACUGCCAUGGAUACUAUAAGUCUUGAAUGUUGUGGAGGUUUGCGGAAUAUGUCAUGUAGCGGUGAAAUGCUUAGAUAUGACAUAGAACACCGAUUGCGAAGGCAGCAGGCUACACAAAUAUUGACGCUGAGGCACGAAAGCGUGGGGAUCAAACAGG
This 253-nucleotide ribosomal RNA is filed under the name uncultured bacterium. Its description in RNAcentral is "partial 16S ribosomal RNA". It matches the Rfam family "Bacterial small subunit ribosomal RNA", at positions 524 to 776 of the family's 1533-position model. The record is from RNAcentral.